GACGAACGCUGGCGGCGUGCUUAACACAUGCAAGUCGAACGGAAAGGCCUCUUUCGGGGGGUACUCAAGUGGCGAACGGGUGAGUAACACGUGAGUAACCUGCCCUUGACUUUGGGAUAACUUCAGGAAACUGGGGCUAAUACCGGAUAGGAGCUCCUGCUGCAUGGUGGGGGUUGGAAAGUUUCGGCGGUUGGGGAUGGACUCGCGGCUUAUCAGCUUGUUGGUGGGGUAGUGGCUUACCAAGGCUUUGACGGGUAGCCGGCCUGAGAGGGUGACCGGCCACAUUGGGACUGAGAUACGGCCCAGACUCCUACGGGAGGCAGCAGUGGGGAAUAUUGCACAAUGGGUGGAAGCCUGAUGCAGCAACGCCGUGUGCGGGAUGACGGCCUUCGGGUUGUAAACCGCUUUCGCUCAUGACGAAGCUUUGUGUGACGGUAGUGGGGAAAGAAGCACCGGCUAACUACGU
Molecule: ribosomal RNA, 466 nt
Filed under: uncultured bacterium
Lineage: Bacteria
Description: partial 16S ribosomal RNA
Rfam family: Bacterial small subunit ribosomal RNA
Source: RNAcentral